This 373-nucleotide ribosomal RNA is filed under the name uncultured organism. RNAcentral describes it as "partial 16S ribosomal RNA". It matches the Rfam family "Bacterial small subunit ribosomal RNA", at positions 527 to 896 of the family's 1533-position model. The record is from RNAcentral.
GGAGGGUGCAAGCGUUGUUCGGAAUUACUGGGCGUAAAGGGCGUGUAGGCGGCUAGGGCAAGUCAGAUGUGAAAUACCUUGGGCUCAACCAAGGAAGUGCAUUUUGAAACUGCUUAACUAGAGUACAGGAGGGAAAGUGGAAUUCCCAGUGUAGAGGUGAAAUUCAUAGAUAUUGGGAGGAACACCGGUAGCGAAGGCGGCCUUCUGGCCUGAUACUGACGCUGAGACGCGAAAGCGUGGGGAGCAAACAGGAUUAGAUACCCUGGUAGUCCACGCCGUAAACGAUGUGCACUAGGUGUAGGAAGUGUUGACCCUUUCUGUGCCGAAGCUAACGCAUUAAGUGCACCGCCUGGGGAGUACGGUCGCAAGGCUA